This 1261-nucleotide long non-coding RNA is filed under the name Medicago truncatula (barrel medic). RNAcentral describes it as "lncRNA gene21382". The record is from RNAcentral. Lineage: Eukaryota; Viridiplantae; Streptophyta; Magnoliopsida; Fabales; Fabaceae.
UUGCUAAAAGAACAACAACAGGGAAAUGGAAGAAACUUCUUCCAUUUGGGUGGACUAGUUUAGCUUAAUAUAUAUAUAUAUAUAUAUAUAUAUAUAUAUAUAUAUAUAUAUAUAUAUAUAUAUAUAUAUAUAUAUUUUCGUCUUUAAUUUUUUGUGAAACAGUUGAAUUGAGAAAGGAGUCAUCUUGCACUUUGAUAUUGUCUAACAAGUCAGAUCAUUAUGUAGCUUUCAAGGUGAGGUCUACUUGUGGUAAUGCACAGAAGUAUUAUGUUGAUCCUUCUUGCAUUGGAGUUGUGCUGCCUAGGUCUACUUGUGAUAUUAUAGGUUUUCCCCUCUCUUUUUCACCAUUUUUUCAUCAGCACUUGUUAUUGCUUACUGCACCCUCUUUAGUAAAUUAUUUACUCUAGACAAGCUAAAUCCAUUGUAUAAAUGUAGUUUGUUCUGUUACUCACUUUCUUUGACUGUUUGUGUCAUAUUUACAUUUUCACAUUGCAGUUACAAUGCUAGGCCAAAAAGAAGCCCCUCUUGACAUGCAAUGCAAAGAUAUGCUUCGCAUUCAAAGCAUAGUUGCAAAUACUAAAUUGUUUCUUUAUAUAGUUUAAAGAAUAUCGCUGUAUGUGUGACAUAACAUAUGCUGAUUUUAGUUGUUUUCUUUCUUCAAUGCUUGUAGUUUCAUAAAGAGUCCGGUUAUGUGGUUGACGAGUGCAAACUAAGAGUUGUUUAAGAUCAUGAUGAUUCUAAUUUGUUUGAUGAUGAUUCUCUAAUACUAGCAAGAGUAGUAGUGUGUCAUGUUGACCCAUUAUUCAGGGAAAAUAUCCUCUUCACCUCCCAUUUAUUGAGGUGGAGCUCAAUGCUUUUCGGCAUUUUUGCAAUUUAUCUUCAUUUUGUAGAGCAAAAGCUAUAUUUAAGAGGUUCAAUAAAAUCACGAUGCGAUUUUGUUGCAAAUCCAUAAAAGUUUUGAGAAGUUACCGUGGAAAAGAAUACACGUCGAAUAAAGUUUGUGAAGACGAAGGUGUGGAGAGACAAGUGACCAUUAAUAAUUUCAUCGAAGCAUAAUGGUGUAUCCGAAAGAAAGAAUCAAACUAUCAUGGAGAUGUCUAAGUCCAUGUUGUUCGAGAAAAGGGUGCCCAAAGAAAGUUGUCUUGAAGGUGUUGAUAUAGAUAUAAAGACAUUGAUAUAAUAAAAUAAGAUUUAUAUAUAACUAGCCAAAUGAAAUAUGCUCAUUAUAGUCUUGAAGCUCUAAUAUACACCGACAAUGUAA